ACUGCUCAGUAACACGUAGUCAACAUGCCCAGGGGACGUGGAUAACCUCGGGAAACUGAGGAUAAACCGCGAUAGGUCAUAGUAUCUGGAAUGAUUUAUGGCUUAAAUCUAUAUGGCCCCUGGAUUGGACUGCGGCCGAUCAGGCUGUUGGUGAGGCAAUGGCCCACCAAACCUAAAACCGGUACGGGCUCUGAGAGGAGAAGCCCGGAGAUGGGCACUGAGACAAGGGCCCAGGCCCUAUGGGGCGCAGCAGGCGCGAAAACUCUGCAAUAAGCGAAAGCUUGACAGGGUUAUUCUGAGUGAUUUCCGCUAAGGAAAUCUUUUGGCACCUCUAAAAAUGGUGCAGAAUAAGGGGUGGGCAAGCCUGGUGUCAGCCGCCGCGGUAAUACCAGCACCCCGAGUGGUCGGGACGAUUAUUGGGCCUAAAGCAUCCGUAGCCGGUUCUACAAGUCUUCCGUUAAAUCCACCUGCUCAACAGUUGGGCUGCGGAGGAUACUAUAGAGCUAGGAGGCGGGAGAGGCAAGCGGUACUCAGUGGGUAGGGGUAAAACCCGUUGAUCCAUUGAAGACCACCAGUGGCGAAGGCGGCUUGCCAGAACGCACUCGACGGUGAGGGAUGAAAGCUGGGGGAGCAAACCGGAUUAGAUACCCGGGUAGUCCCAGCUGUAAACGAUGCAGACUCGGUGAUGAAUAGGCUUCGUGCCUAUUCAGUGCCGCAGGGAAGCCGUUAAGUCUGCCGCCUGGGGAGUACGGUCGCAAGACUGAAACUUAAAGGAAUUGGCGGGGGAGCAC
This 791-nucleotide ribosomal RNA is filed under the name uncultured archaeon. RNAcentral describes it as "bacterial SSU rRNA". It matches the Rfam family "Archaeal small subunit ribosomal RNA", at positions 85 to 879 of the family's 1478-position model. The record is from RNAcentral.